This 393-nucleotide ribosomal RNA is filed under the name Triticum aestivum (bread wheat). Its description in RNAcentral is "partial small subunit ribosomal RNA". The record is from RNAcentral. Lineage: Eukaryota; Viridiplantae; Streptophyta; Magnoliopsida; Poales; Poaceae.
UCUUCCCGCCCUGCUCCACGUGCUGCUCCAGUGAGAAACCCACCAGCGCCAGCCCGUCCAGCUCCUCCACCUGCUACCACCCAGAGCAGCGGUGGUGGUAUCAUGAGCGGGAUUGGGUCCACCAUUGCUCAGGGCAUGGCUUUCGGUACUGGAAGUGCCAUGGCGCACAGGGCUGUUGAUGCUGUGAUGGGUCCCCGUACCAUUCAGCAUGAGACUGUUGUCGGUGAGGCUGCUGCAUCUAUGACUCCAAUGGACAAUGCUGCUGAUGACAAGUGUGGCAACCCUUCCAAGGCCUUCCAAGAUUGCAUCAACCACUACGGAAGCGAUAUCAGCAAGUGCCAGUUCUACCUUGACAUGCUGAACGAGUGCCGCCGUGGAGGAGCAACUCUUUAA